AACCUAAACCCUGUACACUUAGAAUAUUUUACAAUUUUCCCCCAAACCUAAAUCCAAACCCUUGUUUUCAUCGAUCACCACUGCACCUCCAUCGCCAUCAUCCGUCGUUGCUGUCAGCCGCAUAUGAUUCAGGCACCGGCACGGAGACGCUCUGAGACGGAGACGGAGACAGAGACGCCACCAACCACGAAGUAGCAGAAAGAUUUAUAGGCACAUCAGCUUAUCCGAAUUCUAGAUCAAUCCUAUCGAUUUUGAACAAAUGCAACCACGCAUUUAUCAAUAUGACUGAUCCUUCAUUCAUUGUUCCAUUUUAUCAUGCUUUUAAUGGCAAGAAAUGGGAAAAGUUCAACAGUGAAAAGGUGGCAUCACUUGCAUAUGUUCGCAUCCAGGGAAAAGCUGCCCUUAUUGCUCACUUCCAGAAUUCUAGCUUGAUGAAUGAAGAUAAGAUGUAGUAUGCUGAAUUGUAGUAUGCUAUUGGGCUUCAUGGCUUACUACUCUAUAACCCCAUAUCAAAAAAUAUAUAAAACAGAGCUACAAUGUGUUCCUAGUAGCUUUGACUCUGUGGAAGAGUAUGUUUUUGCAUAGGCUGCUUGUGGACUGAACAUUAAAU
Molecule: long non-coding RNA, 610 nt
Organism: Ipomoea nil (Japanese morning glory)
Lineage: Eukaryota; Viridiplantae; Streptophyta; Magnoliopsida; Solanales; Convolvulaceae
Exons: 4
Source: RefSeq, a predicted model, not a curated record